This 309-nucleotide ribosomal RNA is filed under the name uncultured bacterium. RNAcentral's name for it is "bacterial SSU rRNA". It matches the Rfam family "Bacterial small subunit ribosomal RNA", at positions 28 to 334 of the family's 1533-position model. The record is from RNAcentral.
GACGAACGCUGGCGGCGCGCCUAACACAUGCAAGCCGAACGGAGUUAAGUGCUUCGGUAUUUAACUUAGUGGCGAACGGGUGAGUAACGCGUGAGAAACCUGCCUUUCAGUGGGGGACAACAGUUGGAAACGACUGCUAAUACCGCAUAAGCCCAUAGCUCCGCAUGGAGCAGAGGGAAAAGGAGUGAUCCGCUUUGGGAUGGCCUCGCGUCCGAUUAGCUAGUUGGUGAGGUAACGGCCCACCAAGGCGACGAUCGGUAGCCGGACUGAGAGGUUGAUCGGCCACAUUGGGACUGAGACACGGCCCAG